UACGUAGGGUGCGAGCGUUAAUCGGAAUUACUGGGCGUAAAGCGUGCGCAGGCGGUGAUGUAAGACCGAUGUGAAAUCCCCGGGCUUAACCUGGGAACUGCAUUGGUGACUGCAUUGCUGGGGUAUGGCAGAGGGGGGUGGAAUUCCACGUGUAGCAGUGAAAUGCGUAGAUAUGCGGAGGAACACCGAUGGCGAAGGCAAUCCCCUGGGCCUGCACUGACGCUCAUGCACGAAAGCGUGGGGAGCAAACAGG
Molecule: ribosomal RNA, 253 nt
Filed under: uncultured bacterium
Lineage: Bacteria
Description: partial 16S ribosomal RNA
Rfam family: Bacterial small subunit ribosomal RNA
Source: RNAcentral